UUUCCGAAAAAAAAUACAUAAAAUGUAAUUAAUGUAGAUGUCUUUGAUUUAGUCAUAUAUACUACUCAUGUUUCCAUCUGCUAACAAGAAGUUAGCUAACAAAAUACAUCAAAACAACAAGAAGAUAACAAAUUAUAUUAAAACAACCACCACUUAAUUACUAGCACACUCUUUUCCCUCACUUUCUCACUGUUAUUUGGUUUUAACAUAAAACUUAUUUGAACGGUAGUGGUGGAACCUUCACACACGCAUGCGUGCAAAUUUUGAACCUUUUAACUUAUUGGAACUGCUUAUAAUCACUUCCAUUUAUCUCCAGAUGAGGAGAUCCCCAAGGGCAAAACACAACCCUAUAAUUACUAUUACCGGGGCAAGUAAAAGUACUAGUUGGAUCAUCCUGAGGAUAACUAUAGGCAUCAGGGCACCUUUCCUUGAAAAACCUUGAGUAACCUGUGGGGCCACAUGGUCCAUUGGUGCAACAGUAUUGUGGGGUCUUGAACGUCGUGCAUGGGUUAUUACACCCACCCGCAACCCGCAUUGGGUUCGGGCAUUGCCCGUUGAUAUCCGCCGUGCACAGAAGUUGUUUGCAUUUCCCUCCAAGAUUAGUGGUGGGGCUGAAAUCCAUAGGAAUAUUGAAUCCAUCUACUAGUGAAAUGUCAUAAAAAUCUAGGUUUCCGAAUUGAUUCAGGGCAUAUUCGGCUAGGGUAUUCGGUGGGACUCCCCACCCAGUGCACUGGAGGGACCCACAAUCUCCUGUUUGGCAACGGCCCCUACCGGAACCAUCAAAGUUGCAAUUGGUUCGACCCCAAAUGCGUGCCAUUUUGGUGCCAGGAGGUGCAUAUAACCACCAAGUUUCGCCUCGGUUAAGUCGACGGCCACCACCUGGCGAAGCUGCAGCCCACACGGUGUAAGGGCAGUUGUUGCGGAUUUCAAAAGUCGCGGCACUGGUGAUGGUGAAGAGGCUAGGGAGGAGGAGGAGGAAUGGGACAAUGGCCAAGUAGCUCAU
Molecule: long non-coding RNA, 1003 nt
Filed under: Panax ginseng (ginseng)
Lineage: Eukaryota; Viridiplantae; Streptophyta; Magnoliopsida; Apiales; Araliaceae
Description: long non-coding RNA (PGIN_LNC000979)
Source: RNAcentral